UACGAAGGGGACUAGCGUUGUUCGGAAUCACUGGGCGUAAAGCGCACGUAGGCGGAUGUGUCAGUCAGGGGUGAAAUCCCGGGGCUCAACCUCGGAACUGCCUUUGAUACAGCACGUCUCGAGUCCGGAAGAGGUGGGUGGAAUUCCUAGUGUAGAGGUGGAAUUCGUAGAUAUUAGGAAGAACACCAGUGGCGAAGGCGGCUCACUGGUCCGGUACUGACGCUGAGGUGCGAAAGCGUGGGGAGCAAACAGG
RNAcentral lists this ribosomal RNA (253 nucleotides) under uncultured bacterium. Its description in RNAcentral is "partial 16S ribosomal RNA". It matches the Rfam family "Bacterial small subunit ribosomal RNA", at positions 524 to 776 of the family's 1533-position model. The record is from RNAcentral.